This is an RNA transcript of Amaranthus tricolor (Joseph's coat), 2445 nucleotides long. RefSeq lists it as uncharacterized. The record is from RefSeq and is a predicted model, not a curated record. The transcript has 9 exons. NCBI's taxonomy places the organism in Eukaryota, Viridiplantae, Streptophyta, Magnoliopsida, Caryophyllales, Amaranthaceae.
AGUCCUUCAAAUUGGGUUUAAUCUGAAAAGAUUAGACCCAUUGAAACGUUUUUUUGUUAGACUAAGACCUUGAAUCUAAACACAUUGGUAUAAGAAAAUAAGAACCAAAAUUUUGAGUCAAGGUCAAAUAUUGGUCUAAAAGAGGUUUAACAGCAGCAUAUGGAAUGCAGCACAUGAGGAACAAAUCCAUUUGAUUUACCAAUGUGUUUCUGAAUUCUUAGUUGAACCCACAUUCACCUUCAUACACUUAAAUGAAAGAAGCUACCUUCUUACACCAGUAAUCAGUGUAUAACCCAUUUCACUAAUUUGCUAACUUGAUCCUCUUAAAUAUACAUUAUGUUCUAAUCCAUAUAUAGUCAAUUUGCAUUUUUGCGUAUCCAAACCUAUAAAAGAGCAUUCAAUGGGGCUUUUCACAAUUAUUCCAUAGUCCACACAAAAAGAGAAACAAAAAAAAGAGAGCCAGAGAGAUGGAAAGAAGCAUCGCCAAGAUGAACAAAGUAAGCCGACCGGAAGCCUGGAUUUCGCAGUUUUACGCUACUCAAUCCAGGAAUAUGCAGCCUAAAGAAAUUAAUCAUAGUGCACCAAACCUAGAAACCUCUCUUUCUCCCCCCUGCUACAGAUCCAUGGGAGACCAAAGCAGUGUUAUUGACUACUUGUUUUGUAUGUAUAGCUCUACCUAGUAUACAGUCAAGCAUGCAUGCCAAGGCAAAAAACGAUAUCUCAAUCUCCUCCGAAGUUGGUGUUCGAAUUGGUGGUCAUUGGUGUUCGAAUUGGUGGUGGGUCUGGCAAAUUGGAGAUGAGGUGUUCUGGCGAAAACGCCCUAAGGAACCACAUAGGUGCUCGUGGUCGAGUGUUAUGGUCCGAUGAUUUCGUGAUCAGUAAGGAUUUGGUGGAUGAUUAUGUAGAUAGUAAUUAAAGGAAGCGUCUAAACCAUGAUGUUUUUAUGCAAAGACAAUGAUAAAAUCAACAUAAAGCUUGUUAUUUCUCUUGCCAAAAAGUAUUAGUGUUCUAGAAUGAAUCGUCAACAUCUUGUUCAGGGAAAAAUCUCGAUGGCAGCAACGUCCUGAACGACUCCAAUAUCCUACAGCGACUUUUCUUGUGAAUCUCUCUAUACUUUCCUUCUUUAACUUUAAAUUAUAUUUGCUUAACUAUGAUCUGUAUCCAUUUUUGUCUGUAUGAUGCUGUGAAGCGACGUCUUGAAUGUUUAUGUAAACACACUAACACCAGACGCCAGAUAUCAGAUUAUAAGUCAUUUCCAAAGAAUCAGCCUUGAAGUAAAGUAAAGGUACUUGAACUUCAAUGAAGGAUGUAGCUCUGAAACUAAAGACCUUGUUGAAGAUAAAGCUAUAUAUGACAUCACCAAUGUUUCAUGGAGGAAGCCUCCAGAAAAUGAUGAUGCCUUUGUAUCCUCAGAAGGCAAGAAAUACAAGAAUGGCUUUAGAAGUAUUAUUAAUGAUUUUAUUCCAAACUGCAUCUUUCCAGAAGGGCUUCUUUUUGCUCAAAGCCUUUUUUGUGCAAAAACUGCCUUGGAAUUCUACAAUGAUAAACGUGGUACAGAUAUAAGCUUUUUGAACCUAGUCUAGUUGUCGGUAUCUGGAAAGUGUUCUUCGCUUCGAUUGCAACUUCUUUGCUUCAAAGGUGAAGGAGAAUGGCUCUUGGACUCGACCAAAGCUUUUCUUGGGUUCAUUUUGCUGAGUACAAAUAAAAUCGUUGAUAUUCAUUGCAACAUCAUUAGCCUUAAGUUCAUUGAUUUCCUCUUAUUGCUAUGAAUCGGCUACAGCAUUUUACAUGUGCUGUGAGUUCCCCCCCCCCCCCCGAUCUUGCUCAUUCUACUCGACGUUGUUGGCGCUAUAAAAUUUUUAGCUUGUUUGCAAGGAAUUUAGAGGAAUAUAAUGCUUUGAAAAACAGAAUCUAUGCAAAGAUGGCUUUGGAUUUUUUAAACAAGAAACAUGGCACCAAGUUUAAACUGGUGAAAUCUUUGAGAAGCAGUAUUCUACCUGUGAGCUAUGGUGUCUAUAAAUUUCACUGGAACUUCAAGGCAAAGCAUGAGAACACUGACAGCUCUGAAUCUGAUGAUGAUUCUCAUAAGAAGUAUUUAUUUUUUGGUGAUAUCAUAAAGUCAACUCUCUCUACUGAAGGGGAGUUUCACAUAUUAGAAAAUACUGAAGAUUUGGAUGAUCACUGCUCAAUCUGCCGAAACGGUGUUUUACAUCCACCUCAUUAUAGAAAUUCCGGCCAUUCCUCAUGAUUAGAUGUCUUUGAUGGUGCCUAUCGUGUUCAAAUUGGCCUUCUCUUAGAUGUUACUCUGUAGUCUAUCUUACACAAACUAAGAUCAGACAUCAGACUAAUUUUGACUCAUAACACAUGUUUCUUGUACUUUACAUAUGGGUGUGGUUUUAAUUAUGAUGUCUGUGGUCUUUUAAUUUAUCGUUUAGUUUACCAAAA